RNAcentral lists this long non-coding RNA (1179 nucleotides) under Rattus norvegicus (Norway rat). RNAcentral's name for it is "long non-coding RNA NONRATT007504". The record is from RNAcentral. Lineage: Eukaryota; Metazoa; Chordata; Mammalia; Rodentia; Muridae.
AUAUAAAAAAUUUUUUUAAAGGCAUCCAAAGAAAAGGUCAGGAGGUGGUAGAACACACCUUUGAUCCCAGCACUUGGGAGGCAAAUAGUUCUCUGAGUUCAAGGCCAGCCUGGUCUACAGAGUGAGUUCCAGGACAACCAGGGCUACACAGAGAAACCCUGUCUGAAAACAAACACAAAAGCACCCUGUGUGUGGUGGGCGUGAGGGUGGGUGGUAAUGUUGGGUCCUCCUAAGCUCAAGUCACCUCUGCCUCUAAUUUCAGUGUUUGGGCACCCACUCAUGACAGUCCUUAUGACGAUGAUCCACAGGGCACCCAAGGGCUGCUCUUGGCCUCCAGCUCUGGCUGAGAAGGGAUCCCCACAGCUCAGUGGACAAAAGAUCUUUUUAUGUUUAUUUGAGACAGUCUUAUAUGUAUUUCAAGCUGGCCUCAGGUUUGCUGUUAUCCCAGGGCGGUCUUGAACUUGAAAUCCUCCUGCCACAGCCUCUUGAGUGCUGAGAUCCCAGGACGUACUACCACCACAGGACUUUGUAAUCUGAAGGUAUAAAUGCCACUUGUCCUUUCAGGGAGCCCCUCUUGACUCACUUACCGUUCUGUGUCUGUAGGCUGUCUACACGUUAGUGUCUCUGUACCGACAGUAUACAAGCUUGCUGGGGAAGAUGAAUUCCCAGGAGGAGGAUGAGGUGUGGCAGGUGAUCAUAGGAGCCAGAGUUGAGGUGAGUGGGCCUGUCAGUCAUUUCCAAAUAGUGCUCUUCAUUACUGUAACUGAACUGCGAACCGACUGUGUGAACCCCUUCAUGGUGUCUGGAGCUCUUUUCUAACCCUGCAGAUGACUUCAAAGCAGCAGGAGUACUUGAAGCUGGAGACCACGUGGAUGACAGCAGUCAGCCUUUCAGAGAUGGCUGCGGAGGCUGCCUAUCAGACUGGUGCUGGGGGAUUAGAGAUGCGCGCCGCCGCCCAGCUGAGGAGAGUUGAGCCUCUGCAGCUCAAGCCAACACCAAGCUUCCAGUUACCCCCCUCCCUCCGCGCCCACGUGCUGGGAUGUAGGCUGGGACUAUGGACGUGGCCGUUCCCAGCAGGCUUGGCUUUACUUUUUUUUUUUUUGGAAAGUCAGUGUGGUUCGCAAUUACAUUUUGUACCAUACUGCAGAAAAGUGAGAACACUUAACAUUUCAGAAGUAA